GACGAACGCUGGCGGCGUGCCUAAUACAUGCAAGUAGAACGCUGAAGCGAGGAGCUUACUCUUCUUGGAUGAGUGGCGAACGGGUGAGUAACGCGUAGGUAACCUGCCUUGUAGCGGGGGAUAACUAUUGGAAGCGAUAGCUAAUACCGCAUAACAAUGGAUGACACAUGUCAUUUAUUUGAAAGGGGCAAUUGCUCCACUACAUGAUGGACCUGCGUUGUAUUAGGUAGUAGGUGAGGGAAUGGCUCACCUAGGCGACGAUACAGAGCCCACCUGGGGGGGGGAACCGCCACACCGGGACUGGGACACGGCCCCGACCCCUACGGGAGGCAGCAGUAAGGAAACCUCCGCAAUUGGGGCAACCCUGACCGAGCCACGCCGCGUGAGUGGAGAAGGGUCUCCGAUCGUAAAGCUCCGUUGUAAGUCAAGAACGGGUGUGGUAGUGGAAAGUUCACACUGUGACGGUAGCUUACCAGAAAGGCACGGCUAACUACGUG
This 497-nucleotide ribosomal RNA is filed under the name uncultured bacterium. RNAcentral's name for it is "partial 16S ribosomal RNA". It matches the Rfam family "Bacterial small subunit ribosomal RNA", at positions 28 to 507 of the family's 1533-position model. The record is from RNAcentral.